Molecule: ribosomal RNA, 413 nt
Filed under: uncultured bacterium
Lineage: Bacteria
Description: bacterial SSU rRNA
Rfam family: Bacterial small subunit ribosomal RNA
Source: RNAcentral
CUCUUGACAUCCACAGAAAUUCCAGAGAUGGAUUGGUGCCUUCGGGAACUCUGAGACAGGUGCUGCAUGGCUGUCGUCAGCUCGUGUUGUGAAAUGUUGGGUUAAGUCCCGCAACGAGCGCAACCCUUAUCCUUUGUUGCCAGCGAUUUGGUCGGGAACUCAAAGGAGACUGCCGGUGAUAAACCGGAGGAAGGUGGGGAUGACNUCAAGUCAUCAUGGCCCUUACGAGUAGGGCUACACACGUGCUACAAUGGCGUAUACAGAGGGAAGCGAGAGUGCGAGCUGGAGCGAAUCUCACAAAGUACGUCUAAGUCCGGAUUGGAGUCUGCAACUCGACUCCAUGAAGUCGGAAUCGCUAGUAAUCGCAAAUCAAAAUGUUGCGGUGAAUACGUUCCCGGGUCUUGUACACACCG